Molecule: long non-coding RNA, 594 nt
Filed under: Homo sapiens (human)
Lineage: Eukaryota; Metazoa; Chordata; Mammalia; Primates; Hominidae
Description: non-protein coding lnc-INAFM2-1:2
Source: RNAcentral
GUUUAUGACGUUCUUUCACAAAAGAGUAUAAUCAUUCUUAGACUGUUGACAUGGCUGUGGAAAGCCUUAGGAGAAGUAGAAACAAUUUAGGGAGGGUGGGGAAUGUACUCAUCCCCUCUUCUUUCCAUCCUAGUGCCCCCACCAAAGAGGCUUCUUGUUGCAGCCCUCAGUAUCUGGAUAUGGGCCAGGGAGGAAGGAAGGGAAAGAGCAAUGCUGCUGUGCUUCAAUCCUGGCCUUCCCCUCACAGAAUUCUUUUAGGAAGAGCAAGCUUUUAAUCCUUUGAACUUGUAGAACAUCUGGGAGUCCACUUCCCUGUCCUCUUCCUGAUCCCUGCUUUCUGGACUGUUUAAAUCCUCUUUGGGAUGGAUCAGAGAGUCUAGAGAGGCCACUCAUAGGUCCAGCUGCUGGCCUCCUGACUCUCCAAAGCCUUCACUGGAAUUGGGACAUUUGCUCCAGCCCUAGCUGUGAACAUGACCAGAGACAUUAUUUAUAAUUCAGCCAUUUAAGAUAUACCUGUACUCAAAAAGUCCUGUAUAUUUUUAAAAAGUUUUAUUUUUCAGGUGAACAAAAAUACAUCCUAAGAACUCUGCCUAA